UUAUAAUUCAAACUCGAUAAUAGCACAAAUCGACACCAGUUGAGUUUAAAAAAUACAUUUACUCAAAACUAACCAUGUGAAAAGUUAUAUAUUUCAAAAGUUUAAACAUACAAGCAGUGUUUGCUCUUUUUAUUGUAAUUUUUAUUUCGCUGUCAUUUUUAUUUUUAAUUUUUUAAUUUCGGUUUGUGAUCUUCCAAAAUUGGCUUCAAACGUCUCGACCAGGCACUGUCUUAGAUCCAAACCGCUUUUUAUCUCGUGUCUAACGUUAGAUUAAUUUAAUCUUGACAAGCUCGUAGUGAUUUGCACCUUUGAUCGGCGUACAGCUCACGAAAAUUCUGGGCGGUGGCGUUUACCGACUUUAAACUUUUUUUUUCGACCCAAGUGACAGAAGUUGUUUAUCCAUUGGCUGGAUUUGAAAAGAGGAGCAACUCCAGCUGAGUCCAGCAGAACAUGUCUGCAGGGGGCGGAGGAGAGAGUGGGG
Long non-coding RNA from Symsagittifera roscoffensis, 481 nucleotides. RefSeq lists it as uncharacterized. Lineage: Eukaryota; Metazoa; Xenacoelomorpha; Acoela; Convolutidae. The record is from RefSeq and is a predicted model, not a curated record. The transcript has 3 exons.